This 319-nucleotide long non-coding RNA is filed under the name Salmo salar (Atlantic salmon). RNAcentral describes it as "lncRNA (ENSSSAG00000092957.1)". Lineage: Eukaryota; Metazoa; Chordata; Actinopteri; Salmoniformes; Salmonidae. The record is from RNAcentral.
CUGAAACCCUGCGAAACACGUUCACGUGUUUUCGGGAAACUACCAGAAUGGCUUUUUACCAAAGCUUUACCAUUGAAGUUUGUGUUUUAUUGUCAUAACGAAGUAUUUUUUCAAAGUCGUAAUGAGGAGAACCAAGUUACAAGGCUAGGUUUGAAAGAGCUACCUGAAAACUGAAGAAGCCUAAUCAUCUACUCUGCUGACAUUGAUGCAGAUGCUGACUACUACUAGGGGAAAGAGCCCUGCCAUCACAUCGCCGCCCCACCUGAGCGCAUUUGUCAUCCCGACGAUUUGCUUUAUGAGUCCCAGCCUCAGCCUCCCG